This is a non-coding RNA of Arachis ipaensis, 2268 nucleotides long. NCBI's taxonomy places the organism in Eukaryota, Viridiplantae, Streptophyta, Magnoliopsida, Fabales, Fabaceae. The record is from RefSeq and is a predicted model, not a curated record.
CCAAAUAUUUUAAUUCCCUCCGAAACCAAAAACAGGAAAGGAAAUACGAGCAAAUAAUUGAUUCAUCUCCUCCUCACUACUAUUAGUCUAUUACUUAGAAACAAAACUCAAAUCUUAUUAUUUUAGAAUCAAAAUCCUAGCCCCAACCCUAGCUCAAUUUCGGAAUUUUCCCAAUUUGACGACAUUGACUCGCGUGUUGCAUUCCUUUCUCUGCCAUCAUGGUGUUCUUCAUUGCUCUGCUCGCGUCGUGUUCUGCUUGUGUCAUGUGCUUCUUCUCGCAUCGUGUGUUCUGCUCUGCUCUGCCAUGUUCGAUCUUUGGCUCAUGCCAUUCUGAAAUAUUCGUUUUGCUCCGCACCGGGGUGUCGUUCACAUCUUCCUCUCAAGUCUUUCAGGCAUGCAAAAAUUUCUCUCAAAUUUUACUUACUAGUGAUUUAAUUUGGUUGAAUUGUUGAAAUAAGAAAAUUACUCUAACCGUGUUCAAUUAGAAACCCUAACCCCAACCACUGUGAAUUUUGAUUGAUGUCCGAUUUACUCUUCUCUCUUCCCGUUCCUUGUCACUGCUUGCGAUUUACUCUUCUCUAUUCGAUUUCCUCGUCAUUGCCUGUGUUCUUCAUUGCUGGCGUCGCUGUUGAUGUCUUCAUCGUGUUCGUCGUUGCUCGCCUCGCAUCGCCUCGCCGUUGGCUUCAUCCCUGCUCGCGUCGCCAUCUGUUCAUCGCUACUCGUAUUUGAAGCUUCUGAUUUUUGGUCUUCUCGCUUCAAAUUUUCUCGUCGCCUUCUGCUCUCGGCGUCUUCUUGGCUCCUGGCUGGGUGCUGAUCUGCUCUGCUCCACCGUGGUGCAUCACAGGUGUUGGAGUUGGCUGGAAAUUCUUUCAGUUCAACUGAGUUAGCGCUAAGUUUUUCGCCAUAUGCUUUCAAUUACGUUCACUUAUUUUUUUCUACUUCUCUCUUUGCAAAUUUUGUAGGUUUGCUUUCAUAGCUACAAUAUUUGGGGAAUUUUUAGAAGCUUUGUUUUGGCUACAGCUGCCUCAAGCGCUUAAACAUUUGAUGGAUUUUGUGUGCAAUAGCUAUUUCAAUGACAAAUUUGUUUUAUUUUGAUAUGCUUAAGUAUGCAUUACAAGUAGAAAUCCACUCUAUAAACUAGUUUUCACAUUGAAUUUCUGUAUACUCUGUUUCUCCAUGCUCGGUGUUUCAGUUUAUCGGUGUUUCUCCGUGCUCAUUUCAUCCUAGGCAUGCAUUCAUUCAACGCCUUUCUUUUUGUUGUCUCUUAUCAAACUUCAUAAUUCUAGUUAAUUAAUUAAUUAUUGUUUUUUCACUUCUCAAUGUUCAGGAAGUAUGAAGAAAUUAACCUUAAAUGUGCAGGAAUUCUGCUACAUCACUGAAGAUACAUACAUGAAAUCAUAGUGUACAAAAUUGAUCCAGAGGAUUUAUUUAAAUUGAUCCAGAAGAAACUGGUGGAGAAGAUGCCCAUUUUAUAUGUUCACAGGAACAUGCAAUUGGUGUGGCUGAUGGUGUUGGUGGUUGGGCAGAUAGUGGUGUUAAUGUUGGAUUUUACUCUCGUGAACUCAUGUCCCAUUCGGUAGAUGCUAUUCAGGAGGAGCCUAAAGGUUCAAUUGACCCUGCUAGGGUGCUGGAGAAAGCACACUCAAUUACAAAAGCUAUGGGUUCCUCUACAGCAUGCAUCAUUGCACUUACUGACCAGGUCUUAAUGCUAUUAAUUUGGGAGAUAGCGGGUUUAUGGUGAUCCGUGAUGGGUGCACUGCAAACAUCAGUUACUAAGGUGGUGUGAUAAAGGGAUAAAAAAUGUUUGAACCAGAUUUAUGAAGUUGGAAAGUAUGUGGAGAGCCUAAAGUUCAAGUAUCCUUAUUGGGUGCUGAUAACUUUUUUGUGACUUGCCAUGCUGAAUAAUGACUAUAAGAAAAUUAGACCUCUUGAUCACUAGUGGUUUAAAUGGAUAUGUACUAUGCCAAGAAUAUGCCACUGGAGAUUUUGCCCAGAUAUAAUUAUCAUGGUAUGUCCAAGGAACAAGCUACUAGGAUUUGGAAAAAAAUAUAUCCAAGUCAAUUGAUAAAACUUGAAACAAAUAUAUUUAGCUUUUUUAUUUUGAGGCCAUGUAUUUCAUUUAGAGGUUUAGAGGUCUUAUUUAAUUAUCUUUCCAUGUUUUGAUGUUUUCAUAUUGAAUUAGAGAUUGUUACAUAAUAAUGUAUUUGAAAUAUUUUAACUUGAUAAUAUAUAUCCAAGUAGAAUAAGUUGAGAUUGUCUCUUUUUUUA